GGUCUCUGGGCAGGUCCCUGAGGGGCUCUGGACAGGUCCCUGAGGGGCUCUGGGCCUGUCCCUGAGGGGCUCUGGGGCGGACCCCAAGGGGCUCUGGGGCCGGUCCUUGAGGGGCUCUGGGCAGAUCCUUGAGGGGCUCCAGGCCUGUCCCUGAGGGGCUCUAGGGCUGACCCCGAGGGUCUCUGGGCAGGUCCUUGAAGGGCUCUGGACAGGUCCCUGAGGGGCCCUGGACAGGUCCUUGAGGGGUUCAGGCUCUGCUCAUUUUCCCUCCUCUUCCCUUCUCCAUGUGCUUCUCUUGGAUGUCUCAGUUUCCCAAGUUUCCCUUCCCAGCCUUUUCCUUGAGAUCAGCUUUCAUUACACCCCCUUGGAAAAUCCAUGGUGGGAGCCAGGCUGGCUUUUCAGGUUUGGAAUUCCUUCAUUCUGUUUUUCAACAUGUAAAGGAGAAAAUGCGUUACAUAGACAGGGUUCGAGCUGUAAAACUGAACUGGUGUUUCCAAGGGGAGUUCAUCCUUCCAAGGGAUCCAUUUCUGUGGCAGAGCAGCAGGAGCUUCCCAGAGUAACCCCAAACAGGACCUGCUGCUGCAAGAGUGGGACAACAAAGUCAUGGAGCUGCUGGAGAGAGCCCAGAGGAGCCACAGACCUGCUCCAGAGCUGCAGCCCCUCUGGAGCCAGGCUGGGAGGGCUGGGGGUGCUCACCUGGAGAGGAGCAGCUCCAGGGAGAGCUCAGAGCCCUUGCCAAGGCCUGAAGGGGCUCCAGGAGAGCUGCAGAGGGACUGGGGACAAGGAUGGAGGGACAGGAGCCAGGGAAUGGCUCCCAGUGCCAGAGGGCAGGGCUGGGUGGGAUCUUGGCAAUGAGGAAUUGUUCCCUGGCAGGGUGGGCAGGGCUGGGAUGGAAUUCCCAGAGCAGCUGGGGCUGCCCCUGGAUCCCUGGCAGUGCCCAAGGCCAGGCUGGACACUGGGGCUGGAGCAGCCUGGCACAGUGGGAGGUGUCCCUGCCAUGGCAGGGGUGGCACUGGGUGGGCUCUGAGGUCCUCCCCAACCCAAACCUAGUGUGACUCUGUGAAAUCCCAUUUCACAUCAGGCUCACAUAGCAAAAUAUCAGAAUCUGGAUCAAGGUUCCAGUGAUGGAGAUGGAAAUUGGAUUUGGGACAGAUCUCUCUGCUGGCCUCUCUGGCAGGGAUCCAGCUGCUCUGAUCAAUAAGGCUUUAUUUCAAAUCCCAAAGGAGAAUAUGCCAACAUGGGAGUACCAUCAGGACAUCAGAGCCCAGAAUAAAAUCAGCUUUCUCUGUGUUAAAGGGGAGCUCCAAACCACCUCAUCUGCUUUGUGUGUGGGAAACCUGAUCCUUUCAGUAAGACCAUUAAAAUGGUUUCAUAACUAUAUGAAAAUAUUAAAAGAAAACCACAAGUGUUGAGCUGCACAAAAACCCCAACUGUUUUCCAAAUGUUCAUAAUUCCUGGGUGUCCCUCAGUGUUAUUCCAGGUGAAAACACUGGUUCAAGAAUAAAGGCACUUCAGAAUUCCUGAGAAAUGUUUCACAAGGA
Molecule: long non-coding RNA, 1541 nt
Organism: Haemorhous mexicanus (house finch)
Lineage: Eukaryota; Metazoa; Chordata; Aves; Passeriformes; Fringillidae
Exons: 2
Source: RefSeq, a predicted model, not a curated record